CAGAGACAAGAGAGAGAAAGAAGGCCAUUCGGUAAGCUUAGCACAAAGACAAAGGCUAUUUAUUUGCAUAGUUUGCACAUCUUUCUAGGAGAACUGUGGGAAAUCGGCUAUCAAGGCUCCUUUGUGAGAGGCAUUUUAUUUUUAAAAUAUUGUUAAUAAUCCGAAGAAGCUGUACAUUAACAUAUUUUUUUAAUUGACUUAGAUCAGUUGGGGAGGAUGCAGUGGCGGAUCCAGAGCCUGAUCUCGGGAGGGGCACUUGUAGAUUAUUUAAAUAAAUAAUCCUGGCACUAUAACCACUACAACUCAAUGUAGUAGUUAUGGUGCCAGUAGUGUCAGAAUACCACCCCAGAGUAAGUAGUCAUAACGUUUAAGAACAGUUUGACAACUUACCUCAGGUCUGCUGGGAUAUAGGGCAUAGAAGCAGUGGUGUGUGUUAGGGGUGAAGUGUGUGUGAAAGGUGAAAGGUGUGUAUGUGAGUGUGUGAGGGCAGCAGUGUAUGUCAGGGUUGCAGUGUGUGUUAGGGGGCAGUGUAUGUGUGGGGCAGUGUGUAUGUGUG
Non-coding RNA from Pelobates cultripes (western spadefoot toad), 556 nucleotides. Lineage: Eukaryota; Metazoa; Chordata; Amphibia; Anura; Pelobatidae. The record is from the annotation of a GenBank genome assembly.